UACAGCCAUAUCAUCUUGAAAUACUGGUUCUCCUAUGAUCACCGAAGUUAAGCUAUGUCGAGCCUGGUCAGUACCUAGAUGGGUGGCCGCUUGGGAAUAUCAGGUAUUGU
Acanthosepion pharaonis is the source of this 110-nucleotide non-coding RNA. NCBI's taxonomy places the organism in Eukaryota, Metazoa, Mollusca, Cephalopoda, Sepiida, Sepiidae. The record is from the annotation of a GenBank genome assembly.